CGUGACCGUGGGCGAAUUUCGCUCAUA
This 27-nucleotide small RNA is filed under the name Bombyx mori (domestic silkworm). Its description in RNAcentral is "ovarian small RNA-14567". The record is from RNAcentral. Lineage: Eukaryota; Metazoa; Arthropoda; Insecta; Lepidoptera; Bombycidae.